CCGAGCCCGGGCCUAGAACUCAGGCAGAAAUUUUUUCUGAGCCUGAUCCGGCCCGGCCCAGCCCAUGAACACCUCAAAUGCCAACCACGCACUUGCAACACCCCUUUCUCCUUUUUAUUAGUGGUUGUUGAAUGAAAAUUUAAAUUUCAAAAAAGAAAAAAAAGGACAAAAAGACAUUUCCAACGAUUAUAAACUCCACCUACCAAACCCAAGUGCCAAAAGCUCCCUCUCCU
Molecule: long non-coding RNA, 233 nt
Filed under: Gossypium raimondii (Peruvian cotton)
Lineage: Eukaryota; Viridiplantae; Streptophyta; Magnoliopsida; Malvales; Malvaceae
Description: long non-coding RNA (GRAI_LNC004122)
Source: RNAcentral